GCAAUGGUAGCUCAGCGCCAGAGCGCCGGUCUUGUAAACCGGAUGUCGGAGGUUGUAGUCCUCCCCACUGCU
RNAcentral lists this transfer RNA (72 nucleotides) under Hexagrammos decagrammus (kelp greenling). RNAcentral's name for it is "tRNA-Thr". It matches the Rfam family "tRNA". From Rfam's summary of the family: Transfer RNA (tRNA) molecules are approximately 80 nucleotides in length. Their secondary structure includes four short double-helical elements and three loops (D, anti-codon, and T loops). Further hydrogen bonds mediate the characteristic L-shaped molecular structure. tRNAs have two regions of fundamental functional importance: the anti-codon, which is responsible for specific mRNA codon recognition, and the 3' end, to which the tRNAs corresponding amino acid is attached (by aminoacyl-tRNA synthetases). tRNAs cope with the degeneracy of the genetic code in two manners: having more than one tRNA (with a specific anti-codon) for a particular amino acid; and 'wobble' base-pairing, i.e. permitting non-standard base-pairing at the 3rd anti-codon position. Lineage: Eukaryota; Metazoa; Chordata; Actinopteri; Perciformes; Hexagrammidae. The record is from RNAcentral.